UACGUAGGUGGCAAGCGUUGUCCGGAAUUAUUGGGCGUAAAGCGCGCGCAGGCGGUCCUUUAAGUCUGAUGUGAAAGCCCACGGCUCAACCGUGGAGGGUCAUUGGAAACUGGGGGACUUGAGUGCAGAAGAGGAAAGCGGAAUUCCACGUGUAGCGGUGAAAUGCGUAGAGAUGUGGAGGAACACCAGUGGCGAAGGCGGCUUUCUGGUCUGUAGCUGACGCUGAGGCGCGAAAGCGUGGGGAGCAAACAGG
This 253-nucleotide ribosomal RNA is filed under the name uncultured bacterium. RNAcentral's name for it is "partial 16S ribosomal RNA". It matches the Rfam family "Bacterial small subunit ribosomal RNA", at positions 524 to 776 of the family's 1533-position model. The record is from RNAcentral.